GAUGAACGCUGGCGGCGUGCAUAACACAUUCAAGUCGAACGAAGCAGUCAAAUGGAUCCCUUCGGGGUGAAGCUUGAUUGACUUAGUGGCGGACGGGUGAGUAACGCGUGAGCAACCUGCCUUACAGUACGGGAUAACGUCCGGAAACAGACGCUAAUACCGUAUAACGCAUGAGGGUCGCAUGAUCUUUUUGCCAAAGAUUUAUUGCUGUAAGAUGGGCUCGCGUCUGAUUAGGUAGUUGGCGGGGGAACGGCCCACCAAGCCUACGAUCAGUAGCCGGACUGAGAGGUUGAACGGCCACAUUGGGACUGAGAUACGGCCCAGACUCCUACGGGAGGCAGCAGUCGGGAAUAUUGCGCAAAUGGAGGAAACUCUGACGCAGUGACGCCGCGUAUAGGAAGAAGGUUUUUCGGAUUGUAAACUAUUGUCGUUAGGGAAGAUACAAGACAGUACCUAAGGAGGAAGCCACGGCUAACUACGUGCCAGCAGCC
This 491-nucleotide ribosomal RNA is filed under the name uncultured bacterium. RNAcentral's name for it is "bacterial SSU rRNA". It matches the Rfam family "Bacterial small subunit ribosomal RNA", at positions 28 to 516 of the family's 1533-position model. The record is from RNAcentral.